AUUAGAUACCCUGGUAGUCCACGCCGUGAACGAUGAGUGCUAGGUGUAGGGGGUAUCGACCCCUCCUGUGCCGCAGUUAACACAAUAAGCACUCCGCCUGGGGAGUACGGCCGCAAGGUUGAAACUCAAAGGAAUUGACGGGGGCCCGCACAAGCGGUGGAGCAUGUGGUUUAAUUCGACGCAACGCGAAGAACCUUACCAGGGCUUGACAUCCACAGAAUCCUGCGGAAACGUGGGAGUGCCCUUCGGGGAGCUGUGAGACAGGUGGUGCAUGGUUGUCGUCAGCUCGUGUCGUGAGAUGUUGGGUUAAGUCCCGCAACGAGCGCACCCCCUAUAUUUAGUUGCUAACAGGCAAGCUGAGCACUCUAGAUAGACUGCCGGUGAUAAACCGGAGGAAGGUGGGGAUGACGUCAAAUCAUCAUGCCCCUUAUGUUCUGGGCUACACACGUGCUACAAUGGCCGGUACAGACGGAAGCGAAGCCGCGAGGUGAAGCAAAUCCGAGAAAGCCGGUCUCAGUUCGGAUUGCAGGCUGCAACUCGCCUGCAUGAAGUCGGAAUCGCUAGUAAUCGCAGGUCAGCAUACUGCGGUGAAUACGUUCCCGGG
RNAcentral lists this ribosomal RNA (604 nucleotides) under uncultured bacterium. RNAcentral's name for it is "bacterial SSU rRNA". It matches the Rfam family "Bacterial small subunit ribosomal RNA", at positions 777 to 1378 of the family's 1533-position model. The record is from RNAcentral.